CGGCAGGCUUACACAUGCAAGUCGCAGGGGAAGCAGUCCUUCGGGAUUGUGGAGACUGGCGCACGGGUGAGUAACGCGUGGGAAUCUGCCCUGGGGUGGGGGAUAACCGCUGGAAACGGCGGCUAAUACCGCAUACGCCUUAAGGGGGAAAGCUUUCGAGCGCCCUGGGAGGAGCCCGCGUCCGAUUAGCUUGUUGGUGGGGUAAAGGCCUACCAAGGCUACGAUCGGUAGCUGGUCUGAGAGGAUGAUCAGCCACACUGGGACUGAGACACGGCCCAGACUCCUACGGGAGGCAGCAGUGGGGAAUAUUGGACAAUGGGCGCAAGCCUGAUCCAGCCAUGCCGCGUGAGUGAAGAAGGCCUUAGGGUUGUAAAGCUCUUUCACCCGUGAAGAUGAUGACGGUAGCGGGAGAAGAAGCCCCGGCUAACUCCGUGCCAGCAGCCGCGGUAAUACGGAGGGGGCGAGCGUUGUUCGGAAUUACUGGGCGUAAAGGGCGCGUAGGCGGACGAUCAAGUCAGGGGUGAAAGUCCUGGGCUCAACCUGGGGACUGCCUUUGAAACUGAUUGUCUUGA
This 572-nucleotide ribosomal RNA is filed under the name uncultured bacterium. RNAcentral describes it as "bacterial SSU rRNA". It matches the Rfam family "Bacterial small subunit ribosomal RNA", at positions 40 to 645 of the family's 1533-position model. The record is from RNAcentral.